GGUGCAGGUGGCUUUGUAAGUCAGAUGUGAAAGCCUGAGGCUUAACCUCAGAAGUGCAUUUGAUACUGCGAAGCUUGAGUGCUGGAGAGGCUACUAGAAUUCCAGGUGUAGUGGUGAAAUACGUAGAUAUCUGGAGGAAUACCGGAGGCGAAGGCGGGUAGCUGGCCAGACACUGACACUCAGACCCGAAAGCGUGGGGAUCAAACAG
Molecule: ribosomal RNA, 208 nt
Filed under: uncultured delta proteobacterium
Lineage: Bacteria; Deltaproteobacteria
Description: partial 16S ribosomal RNA
Rfam family: Bacterial small subunit ribosomal RNA
Source: RNAcentral